UACAGAGGGUGCAAGCGUUAAUCGGAAUUACUGGGCGUAAAGCGUGCGUAGACGGUCAUGUAAGUCGGGUGUGAAAGCCCCGGGCUCAACCUGGGAAUUGCAUUCGAGACUGCAUGGCUAGGAUGCGGAAGAGGGAAGCGGAAUUUCCGGUGUAGCGGUGAAAUGCGUAGAUAUCGGAAGGAACACCAGUGGCGAAAGCGACGCACUGGAUCUCUACUGACGCUGAGGCGCGAAAGCCAGGGGAGCAAACGGG
This 253-nucleotide ribosomal RNA is filed under the name uncultured bacterium. Its description in RNAcentral is "partial 16S ribosomal RNA". It matches the Rfam family "Bacterial small subunit ribosomal RNA", at positions 524 to 776 of the family's 1533-position model. The record is from RNAcentral.